UACCUGGUGGUCCAGUGGUGAGGACUUGGCACUUUCACUGCUGGGGCUUGGGUUCAAUUCCUGGUUGGGGAU
Molecule: transfer RNA, 72 nt
Filed under: Bos taurus (domestic cattle)
Lineage: Eukaryota; Metazoa; Chordata; Mammalia; Artiodactyla; Bovidae
Also listed under: 3 other names
Rfam family: tRNA
About the family: Transfer RNA (tRNA) molecules are approximately 80 nucleotides in length. Their secondary structure includes four short double-helical elements and three loops (D, anti-codon, and T loops).
Source: Rfam by way of RNAcentral